AUACGAAGGGGGCUAGCGUUGUUGGGAAUCACUGGGCGUAAAGCGCGCGUAGGUGGAUCAAUUAGUUGAGGGUGAAAUCCCGGGGCUCAACCUCGGAACUGCCUUCAAUACUGUUGAUCUUGAGACCGAGAGAGGUGAGUGGAAUUCCUAGUGUAGAGGUGAAAUUCGUAGAUAUUUGGAAGAACACCAGUGGCGAAGGCGGCUCACUGGCUCGGUACUGACGCUGAGGUGCGAAAGCGUGGGGAGCAAACAGGAUUAGAAACCCCAGUAGUCC
RNAcentral lists this ribosomal RNA (274 nucleotides) under uncultured bacterium. RNAcentral's name for it is "partial 16S ribosomal RNA". It matches the Rfam family "Bacterial small subunit ribosomal RNA", at positions 523 to 796 of the family's 1533-position model. The record is from RNAcentral.